CCAAUAGCGUAUAUUAAAGUUGUUGCAGUUAAAAAGCUCGUAGUUGAACUUCGGGGUUUACCCAUUGGUCAGGCUUAAUUGUCUGUACUGGUGAGAUAAAUCUCUACCUUCUGAGGAACUUUCAUGUCAUUAAUUUGGUGUGAUUGGAAAUCAGGACUGUUACUUUGAAAAAAUUAGAGUGUUUAAAGCAGGCUAACGUC
This 200-nucleotide ribosomal RNA is filed under the name uncultured Diversispora. RNAcentral's name for it is "partial small subunit ribosomal RNA". It matches the Rfam family "Eukaryotic small subunit ribosomal RNA", at positions 591 to 792 of the family's 1831-position model. The record is from RNAcentral. Lineage: Eukaryota; Fungi; Glomeromycota; Glomeromycetes; Diversisporales; Diversisporaceae.